UCAAGUUACUAAGAGCACACAGGGGAUGCCUUGGUGCAGGUAGGCGAUGAAGGACGUGGCAAGCUGCGAUAAGCUCCGGGGAGCCGCUAAGCGGGCUUCGAUCCGGAGAUGUCCGAAUGGGGAAACCCACCGCGGUAAAGCCGCGGUAUCCUCAUCUGAAUACAUAGGGUGAGGAAGCGAACCCGGGGAAGGGAAACAUCUUAGUACCCGGAGGAAGAGAAAGCAACCGCGAUUCCCUGAGUAGCGGCGAGCGAAACGGGAACAGCCCAAACCACUUGCAUGUUAAAGCCCUGGCGCGUUGUGCAGGUGGGGUCGAGGGACCUGACUUGGCUCCGGCCCGGAGGAGCCAGAGAGUCAAAAAGGGCAAUUUUAGCUGAAUACCAUGGAAAGGGUAACCAUAGAAGGUGAUAGUCAUGUAAGCGAAAAAAUUGUCUCUCUCCGUCAGGCACCCAAGUACCACGGGACACGUGGAAUCCUGUGGGAAUUUGGGAGGACCAUCUUCUAAGGCUAAAUACUAACCUGCGACCGAUAGUGUACCAGUACCGUGAGGGAAAGGUGAAAAGAACCCCUGUUAGGGGAGUGAAAGAGAACCUGAAACUGUGUGCUUACAAGCAGUCGGAGCCCCCGCAAGGGGGUGACGGCGUGCCUUUUGCAUAAUGAGCCGGCUAGUUACUCUAAGCGGCAAGGUUAAUCCUUUAGAAAGGGAGGAGCCGUAGCGAAAGCGAGUCCUAACAGGGCGCUUAGUCGUUUGGAGUAGACGCGAAGCCGAGGUGAUCUACCCUUGGCCAGGAUGAACUGCGGGUAACACCGCAGGGAGGUCCGAACCGGUGUUGGUUGAAAACAGCUCGGAUGAGCUGAGGGUAGGGGUGAAAGGCUAAUCAAACUCGGAGAUAGCUCGUUCUCCCCGAAAUAGCUUUAGGGCUAGCCUCGCGUGAAUGGUAUAGGAGGUAGAGCACUGGAUGGCCUAGGGGGCCGAAAGGCCUUCCGAAUCCAACCAAACUUCGAAUUCCUAUAACCACUGCGCGGGAGUAAGACUGCGAGCACUAAGGUCCGUAGUCAAAAGGGAAACAGCCCAGACCGCCAGCUAAGGUCCCAGAAUGCAAGCUAAGUGGGCAAGGAUGUAGAAACGCUUAGACAACCAGGAGGUUGGCUUAGAAGCAGCCAUCCUUUAAAGAAAGCGUAACAGCUCACUGGUCAAGUAUUUCCGCGCCGACAAUGUAACGGGGCUAAGCUUGCUACCGAAGCUGCGGAGACAAGCUUCGCUUGUCUGGUAGGGGAGCAUUCCGUGGGCAGUGAAGUAGGAUCGUGAGGUCUUGUGGAGCGCACGGAAGAGACUCUGCCGGCACGAGUAGCGAUAACUGCUGUAAAAACCAGCAGCGCCGAAAAUCUAAGGUUUCCUGGGGAAGGUCAGUCCGCCCAGGGUUAGUCGGUCCCUAAGCUGAGGCCGAAAGGCGUAGGCGAUGGAUAGCAGGUCAACAUUCCUGCACCACCUGAAAAGCGUUUGUACGAUGGGGGGACGCAGAAGGAUAGGCGUACGUGCGGUUGGAAAUGCACGGCCGUUAAGUAGGAGGAGCUCUUAGGCAAAUCCGGGAGCUCGUUAACUCCGAAUACAACGGGGAAGCAGGGCUUCGGUCUUGUCAACUCGCUGAUUCCACGCUGCCAAGAAAAUCCUCUAAGGAGUUUUUCAGGUGACCGUACCGCAAACCGACACAGGUAGAUGAGGAGAGAAUCCUAAGGCGCACGUGUGAGCCCUCUCUAAGGAACUAGGCAAGUUGACCCCGUAACUUCGGGAUAAGGGGUGCCUCGGUAGGGUGUAGUUGUAUAAACAAAGCCCGAGGAGGCCGCAGAAAAAUGGCUCUUGCGACUGUUUAGUAAAAACACAGGACUCUGCAAAGACAUAAAAUCGAUGUAUAGGGUCUGACGCCUGCCCGGUGCCGGAAGGUUAAGGGGAGGGGUUAUCCUGCUUCGGCGGGAGAAGCUCUGAACCGAAGCCCCGGUAAACGGCGGCCGUAACUAUAACGGUCCUAAGGUAGCGAAAUUCCUUGUCGGGUAAGUUCCGACCCGCACGAAAGGCGUAACGACAUGAGCGCUGUCUCAGAGAGGGGC
RNAcentral lists this ribosomal RNA (2106 nucleotides) under wastewater metagenome. RNAcentral describes it as "bacterial LSU rRNA". It matches the Rfam family "Bacterial large subunit ribosomal RNA", at positions 3 to 2032 of the family's 2925-position model. The record is from RNAcentral.